RNAcentral lists this small RNA (133 nucleotides) under Mesorhizobium sp. M00.F.Ca.ET.186.01.1.1. Its description in RNAcentral is "partial 6S RNA". It matches the Rfam family "6S / SsrS RNA", at positions 1 to 136 of the family's 187-position model. Rfam says of the family: E. coli 6S RNA was the first non coding RNA to be sequenced, but its function was unknown until recently. It consists of 184 nucleotides that fold into an extended hairpin structure with a large single-stranded internal bulge. Lineage: Bacteria; Pseudomonadati; Pseudomonadota; Alphaproteobacteria; Hyphomicrobiales; Phyllobacteriaceae. The record is from RNAcentral.
AAAGCCCUGCGAUGUUCGUGACAUCCGAUAGUUUUGAGCCACAAAGUUUGUUCAGGGAGUUUUUCGUCCGCAAUUGUAAAGGCAUGCCUCCGUCGAGUGGACGUCUGUAACAGUUGGGCAAGACACCCACCUG